Molecule: ribosomal RNA, 497 nt
Filed under: uncultured bacterium
Lineage: Bacteria
Description: partial 16S ribosomal RNA
Rfam family: Bacterial small subunit ribosomal RNA
Source: RNAcentral
GAUGAACGCUGGCGGCGUGCCUAAUACAUGCAAGUCGAGCGAACGGACGAGAAGCUUGCUUCUCUGAUGUUAGCGGCGGACGGGUGAGUAACACGUGGAUAACCUACCUAUAAGACUGGGAUAACUUCGGGAAACCGGAGCUAAUACCGGAUAAUAUUUUGAACCGCAUGGUUCAAAAGUGAAAGACGGUCUUGCUGUCACUUAUAGAUGGAUCCGCGCUGCAUUAGCUAGUUGGUAAGGUAACGGCUUACCAAGGCAACGAGGCAUAGCCGACCUGAGAGGGUGAUCGGCCACACUGGAACUGAGACACGGUCCAGACUCCUACGGGAGGCAGCAGUAGGGAAUCUUCCGCAAUGGGCGAAAGCCUGACGGAGCAACGCCGCGUGAGUGAUGAAGGUCUUCGGAGCGUAAAACUCUGUUAUUAGGGAAGAACAUAUGUGUAAGUAAAUGUGCACAUCUUGACGGUACCUAAUCAGAAAGCCACGGCUAACUACGUG